This 568-nucleotide long non-coding RNA is filed under the name Polistes fuscatus (common paper wasp). RNAcentral's name for it is "uncharacterized LOC122513788". The record is from RNAcentral. Lineage: Eukaryota; Metazoa; Arthropoda; Insecta; Hymenoptera; Vespidae.
AAGAAAUAAAGAAAAAGAGGGAGAGAAAGAAAGAAAGAAAGAAAGAAAGAAAGAAUCGUAAAUGCACGUAGGCAUUGUACCAUUGAGGCGGUCCAGCAAGAGCAAAAGUAGAAACAGCAGCAGCAGAAGCAGCAGACGGACAGACGAAUGUACGGAUUAACUCGUUUUAAAGAGAUUCAGACCGUGUUCGGUCGUACGAUUCAAGCCAGUUAUGCAAGGAUGCACCACCGGUUUUUCAUUUUAAAAUUCGCACCUACACGAUCUCUCCUUCGUACUUACCAUAGGUCUCUUUCCAACAUGCUUUUUAAACAACAGGACAUCGAGGACAUUUAAAGAUGUCGAUCUUUAAUAUACUUCUUACCUUUCUCUUUAUUUUAACAUUUUAUUUUCAAUGAAUACAUUUAUUUCUAAUUUAAAUACGUGACGCGAGAUGUUUCCAUUUCAGGGGUCUUUUAAAUACGUUUUAAAUAUUUUAUUUAUUAUUAUUGUUAUUAUAUUAACGAUCGAGUUGCUAAAGAAGUUCCGAUAAAGGGAUGAAACGUUCAAUAAAAUUGAAAUAACGUUCUAC